This 241-nucleotide ribosomal RNA is filed under the name uncultured Allobosea sp. Its description in RNAcentral is "uncultured Bosea sp. partial 16S ribosomal RNA". It matches the Rfam family "Bacterial small subunit ribosomal RNA", at positions 355 to 613 of the family's 1533-position model. Lineage: Bacteria; Pseudomonadati; Pseudomonadota; Alphaproteobacteria; Hyphomicrobiales; Alloboseaceae. The record is from RNAcentral.
UGGGGAAUAUUGGACAAUGGGCGAAAGCCUGAUCCAGCCAUGCCGCGUGAGUGAUGAAGGCCCUAGGGUUGUAAAGCUCUUUUGUGCGGGAAGAUAAUGACGGUACCGCAAGAAUAAGCCCCGGCUAACUUCGUGCCAGCAGCCGCGGUAAUACGAAGGGGGCUAGCGUUGCUCGGAAUCACUGGGCGUAAAGGGUGCGUAGGCGGGUUUCUAAGUCAGAGGUGAAAGCCUGGAGCUCAAC